UUCGGCCCCCAAACCGACCUUUUCUCCACUCCAGCGACUGUGCCUGAUGUUGCCCGAAGGAUGCCGAAGAAAAAGACUUCAGGACUGGAAGCGCUCUUACCCCAAGAUCGGUCACCUUUCCCCUUUCCGAAUUCCCCGCACCAGUUCACACCAGCAACUGAGAUUUAGGCCUGUUUUCCUGAAGGGCCUCAGCCAGUCCCUGCACUUAGUAGGCAUGCAAUAA
RNAcentral lists this long non-coding RNA (223 nucleotides) under Bos mutus (wild yak). Its description in RNAcentral is "lncRNA (ENSBMUG00000007113.1)". The record is from RNAcentral. Lineage: Eukaryota; Metazoa; Chordata; Mammalia; Artiodactyla; Bovidae.